This is a transfer RNA of Burkholderia glumae, 82 nucleotides long. It matches the Rfam family "tRNA". Rfam says of the family: Transfer RNA (tRNA) molecules are approximately 80 nucleotides in length. Lineage: Bacteria; Pseudomonadati; Pseudomonadota; Betaproteobacteria; Burkholderiales; Burkholderiaceae. The record is from Rfam.
GCCCAGGUGGUGAAACUGGUAGACGCAGGGGACUCAAAAUCCCCCGCCGCAAGGCGUGCCGGUUCGAUUCCGGCCCUGGGCA